GCCGGGGUGGUGGAAUGGCAUACACGGACGACUCAAAAUCGUCUGUCCUCGCGGACAUGCGGGUUCGACUCCCGUCCCCGGUA
This 83-nucleotide transfer RNA is filed under the name Pseudonocardia sp. Its description in RNAcentral is "tRNA-Leu". It matches the Rfam family "tRNA". From Rfam's summary of the family: Transfer RNA (tRNA) molecules are approximately 80 nucleotides in length. Their secondary structure includes four short double-helical elements and three loops (D, anti-codon, and T loops). RNAcentral also lists the same sequence under 2 other names. The record is from RNAcentral. Lineage: Bacteria; Bacillati; Actinomycetota; Actinomycetes; Pseudonocardiales; Pseudonocardiaceae.